CUUCCGGUGAUCCUGCCGGACCCGACUGCUAUCAGAGUGGGACUAAGCCAUGCGAGUCGACGUAGCAAUGCGUGGCGAACGGCUCAGUAACACGUAGUCAACAUGCCCAGGGGACGUGGAUAACCUCGGGAAACUGAGAAUAAACCACGAUAGGUCACGAUUUCUGGAAUGGAUCAUGGCCUAAAUCUACAUGGCCCCUGGAUUGGACUGCGGCCGAUCAGGCUGUUGGUGAGGUAAUGACCCACCAAACCUAUAACCGGUACGGGCUCUGAGAGGAGAAGCCCGGAGAUGGGCACUGAGACAAGGGCCCAGGCCCUAUGGGGCGCAGCAGGCGCGAAACCUCUGCAAUAGGCGAAAGCCUGACAGGGUUACUCUGAGUGAUUUCCGCUAAGGGGAUCUUUUGGCACCUCUAAAAAUGGUGCAGAAUAAGGGGUGGGCAAGUCUGGUGUCAGCCGCCGCGGUAAUACCAGCACCCCGAGUGGUCGGGACGAUUAUUGGGCCUAAAGCAUCCGUAGCCGGUUCUGCAAGUCUUCCGUUAAAUCCAGCCGCUCAACGGAUGGGCCGCGGAGGAUACUACAGGACUAGGAGGCGGGAGAGGCAAGCGGUACUCAGUGGGUAGGGGUAAAAUCCUUUGAUCCAUUGAAGACCACCAGUGGCGAAGGCGGCUUGCCAGAACGCGCUCGACGGUGAGGGAUGAAAGCUGGGGGAGCAAACCGGAUUAGAUACCCGGGUAGUCCCAGCUGUAAACGAUGCAGACUCGGUGAUGGGCUAGCCUUGUGCCAGCCCAGUGCCGCAGGGAAGCCGUUAAGUCUGCCGCCUGGGGAGUACGGUCGCAAGACUGAAACUUAAAGGAAUUGGCGGGGGAGCA
Molecule: ribosomal RNA, 868 nt
Filed under: uncultured archaeon
Lineage: Archaea
Description: bacterial SSU rRNA
Rfam family: Archaeal small subunit ribosomal RNA
Source: RNAcentral